Molecule: ribosomal RNA, 253 nt
Filed under: uncultured bacterium
Lineage: Bacteria
Description: partial 16S ribosomal RNA
Rfam family: Bacterial small subunit ribosomal RNA
Source: RNAcentral
UACGAGUGCCUCAAGCGUUAUCCGGAAUCAUUGGGCGUAAAGGUUGUGUAGGUGGUUGUAUUAGUCUCUUGUUAAAUUCUUCGGCUUAACCGGGGGCAUGCAAGGGAAACGGUACAACUAGAGGAUGCGAGGGGUCUGCGGAACUCAUAGUGUAGCGGUGAAAUGCGUUGAUAUUAUGGGGAACACCAAAAGCGAAGGCAGCAGACUGGAGCACUCCUGACACUGAAACAAGAAAGCGUGGGUCGCGAAUGGG